This 253-nucleotide ribosomal RNA is filed under the name uncultured bacterium. Its description in RNAcentral is "partial 16S ribosomal RNA". It matches the Rfam family "Bacterial small subunit ribosomal RNA", at positions 524 to 776 of the family's 1533-position model. The record is from RNAcentral.
GACAAAGGUGCCGAGCGUUAGGCGGAAUCACUGGGCUUAAAGCGUGUGUAGGCGGCUCCGCCAGUAACUUGUGAAAUCCUCCGGCUCAACCGGAGAACUGCCUCGGAUACUGCGGGUCUCGAGGGUGAUAGGGGUAUGCGGAACUAUCGGUGGAGCGGUGAAAUGCGUUGAUAUCGAUAGGAACUCCGGUGGCGAAGGCGGCAUACUGGAUCACUUCUGACGCUGAGGCGCGAAAGCCAGGGGAGCAAACGGG